Triticum urartu is the source of this 119-nucleotide non-coding RNA. The record is from Rfam. NCBI's taxonomy places the organism in Eukaryota, Viridiplantae, Streptophyta, Magnoliopsida, Poales, Poaceae.
GGAUGCGAUCAUACCAGUACCUAAAGCACCGGAUGCCAUCAGAAUUUCGAAGUUAAGCAUGCUUGUGCGAGAGUAGUGCUAGGAUGGAUAACCUCUAGAAAGUCCUCGUGUCGCAUUUC